AGUGAACGCUGGCGGUAGGCCUAACACAUGCAAGUCGAACGGCAGCACAGUAAGAGCUUGCUCUUACGGGUGGCGAGUGGCGGACGGGUGAGGAAUACAUCGGCAUCUACUUUUUCGUGGGGGAUAACGUAGGGAAACUUACGCUAAUACCGCAUACGACCUACGGGUGAAAGCAGGGGAUCUUCUGACCUUGCGCGAUUGAAUGAGCCGAUGUCGGCUUAGCUAGUUGGCGGGGUAAAGGCCCACCAAGGCGACUAUCCGUAGCUGGUCUGAGAGGAUGAUCGGCCACACUGGAGCUGAGACACGGUCCAGACGCCUACGGGACGCAGCAGUGUGGAAUAUUAGGCAGAGGGCGCGAGCCUGAUCCAGCCAUACCGCGUGGGUGAAGAAGGCCUUCGGGUUGUAAAGCCCUUUUGUUGGGAAAGAAAAGCAGCAGGUUAAGACCCCGCUGUUCUGACGGUACCCAAAGAAUAAGCACCGGCUAACUUCGUG
Molecule: ribosomal RNA, 492 nt
Filed under: uncultured bacterium
Lineage: Bacteria
Description: partial 16S ribosomal RNA
Rfam family: Bacterial small subunit ribosomal RNA
Source: RNAcentral